RNAcentral lists this transfer RNA (77 nucleotides) under Pseudomonadota bacterium. Its description in RNAcentral is "tRNA-Arg". It matches the Rfam family "tRNA". Rfam says of the family: Transfer RNA (tRNA) molecules are approximately 80 nucleotides in length. Their secondary structure includes four short double-helical elements and three loops (D, anti-codon, and T loops). RNAcentral also lists the same sequence under 6 other names. The record is from RNAcentral. Lineage: Bacteria; Pseudomonadati; Pseudomonadota.
GCUCUCGUAGCUCAGUGGAUUAGAGCGCUUGCUUGCGGAGCAAUAGGUCGCAGGUUCGAGUCCUGCCGGGAGCACCA